UGUCAACUAAGGGGAGCCACGCGCAUCUUUCUACACAAAUCAACGACUCCAGAUAUUCUAUUUCCUCUCCUCUCCCUCGGCACUCUCAUCUCUGUCUCUUUCAGACUUGCCCUUUCCCGUGCUCAUGACGUUUCAGAUGAAGUCUUAAGGAGCUGCAGUGUCCUGCCAAAAGGAAUGCCUCCGCUUGGAACCGCCCUCAUUGACAUGGCAGCUGUUCCGAAAUUCCGGAUGCCCUCGACCCUUGGGAACCCGAGCUCAGAUGGCCCGCGCCGAGCGGGAGCAG
Molecule: non-coding RNA, 283 nt
Organism: Urocitellus parryii (Arctic ground squirrel)
Lineage: Eukaryota; Metazoa; Chordata; Mammalia; Rodentia; Sciuridae
Source: RefSeq, a predicted model, not a curated record